RNAcentral lists this ribosomal RNA (492 nucleotides) under uncultured bacterium. RNAcentral's name for it is "partial 16S ribosomal RNA". It matches the Rfam family "Bacterial small subunit ribosomal RNA", at positions 29 to 507 of the family's 1533-position model. The record is from RNAcentral.
AGUGUACGCUGGCGGUAGGCCUAACACAUGCAAGUCGAACGGCAGCACAGUAAGAGCUUGCUCUUACGGGUGGCGAGUGGCGGACGGGUGAGGAAUACAUCGGAAUCUACUUUUUCGUGGGGGAUAACGUAGGGAAACUUACGCUAAUACCGCGUACGACCUACGGGUGAAAGCAGGGGAUCUUCGGACCUUGCGCGAUUGAAUGAGCCGAUGUCGGAUUAGCUAGUUGGCGGGGUAAAGGCCCACCAAGGCGACGAUCCGUAGCUGGUCUGAGAGGAUGAUCAGCCACACUGGAACUGAGACACGGUCCAGACUCCUACGGGAGGCAGCAGUGGGGAAUAUUGGACAAUGGGCGCAAGCCUGAUCCAGCCAUACCGCGUGGGUGAAGAAGGCCUUCGGGUUGUAAAGCCCUUUUGUUGGGAAAGAAAAGCAGCAGGUUAAUACCCCGCUGUUCUGACGGUACCCAAAGAAUAAGCACCGGCUAACUUCGUG